CUCCCAUGAAACAGCUGAGGUCUGGGAGGUGCAGGGACCUCCCCCCACCCUGGGUGGCUAGAGAGCCUUUCCCGCUACUGCUUCUUCUUCUUUGUUUUUUUUUUUAAUUGGAGUAGAGUUGAUUUACAAUGUUUUGUUAGUUUCAGGUGUAUAGCAAAGUGAAUCAGUUAUACAUAUACAUACAUCCACUCUUUUUUUAGAUUCUUUUCCCGUUUAGGCCAUUACAGAGCAUUGAGUAGAAUUCCCUGUGCUAUACAGCAGGUCCCUAUUAUCUAUUUUAUAUAUAGUACAUUGGGAUUGACAGCUCUUGUUUUUCAUCCUUCCCGCAUGCCAAGUCCGGCUGCUGAAGGAGGAGAAGAGCACCUUGGAGAGCGACAUGGACCCUGAGCCUCCAGCGGACGUGCCCUGCAGACCCGCCUACAGCCUCCAGAGGCCUGCCCUGCGGAGACCAAGGGGUCGGGGUGUGAUCUCAGCUACUCCCCUGCCCCUGCCCCGGCAGCCCCACAAAACCCCUUGGCCUGGACGGAGGAGCUGGUGCACACACCCCCUGCAGCGGAGGGCAGGUUCUGAAGCUGGUGCUCUCCAUCUUCCCAGGCUGGAAAAUCUCAGGAGGUUCCAGGGAAAAAGGCAGUUCCCCCAGAUAUGCCCACACCCAGCAGCUGAGGCCUGAACAGAGCUCAGAUUUCAGCCAUGAGAGUAACUGUCUCUCUAACUCCUGGCACCAGGCUGGGCUGCUUGGGCCCGCCUCCUCAGGGACCUUCACAGCUGCUUCCUGAGUAGUUGGGGAAGAGGUCACCUCUGAGGUUACCGGCUUCCCUGAGGUCCCUCCACUAAGUGGACUGAACCCCGAGGUCUCCCUCCUGCCCCACCCCAGUCCGCUCAGUGACAUCUCCCAGCACCUUCUCCGGGCGGGUGUGGCCCUCAGCACUCGUCAUGCAUGUUCAUCCUCACAGCGAGCCUGAGAAGGAGGUAGAGUUGUUACCCUGUUUUAUGGAGGAAUAUUCUGAGAACCUUGAGAGGCUGAGCCACUUGUCAGGGUCGGGCACCAGGGAGCGGGGCCUCUGAGUUUCCAAAAUGCUUAGACAGCCUGUGACACAUUCUUUUUAACAAGAAGUCCGAACUGUGCUGCCUCUCCACCCCAGACCCCUCGGUCCCUGAGGAUCAGCUCCACACACGCACGUGCAGACGUGCAUGCACACGCACACCUGCAGGGGAGCCCACCCUCCGCCCACCCACAGGCGGCCAUUCCCCAGGCUCCGGGGAGCAAAUUACAUCACAGGAAAUCGCAGUGUGAGGGACGUCCCCAGUGGAAGGUAUGAGAACACAUGUGGCAGAGCGGCGGGCCAGGCCCAGCUGCUGCAGAUGUCUGCCACAGCUGGAGGGCCACCAGGCGCAGGGCCCGGUGCGUCUCGUCAGGGGCAGGGCCUCAGCUGAGGGUCCACAGAGCCAUAGCUGCACAGGCCUUGCAGCCAGCAUGGGCCCUGUUGCUUCUCCACUCGGGAGUGCCCCUCCAGGGCAUGGGGGCUUCAAGGCAGUGUUUCCUCAUCUGUACAAUGGGGAGAAGACCAGCACCAUGACCUUCAGUGAACGGAGCCCACGCAGGUAAGGGCCUCACGGUGCCCGGCUUGGAGGCGCGAAGAACGAUGUCGAUGACAACGGGAAACUGGGCCUCUGCCUUCAAUGAGCUGACGGCCUGCGGAGGGGGGCGAAACUGACGUGCCUGAAGCCGCGACCACUCAGUGCCCGGGCCGGACAGGUGAGCCCCCACCUCUCUUAGCAGAGAGAAGGCGAACAAGUCAAUAAGGAAGAUACCGGCCGACGCUGAGGGGCCGGCGCAGAGAAGGGGGCGGACAGGCUAAGGGGACAGAGAUUGCUGGGAGGCGUGAUUCACACAGAAUGGCCGGGAGUGCUCGGGGAGGGCCUCUCUGGAGAAGCGACAGCUGGGCUCAAGCUGAAGAGAGCGAUAAAGCCAGAGGUGAGGAGAAAGGGGACCCGACAAAAGAAAAGUACAGGGGCCAGAGGCCAGAAGGACGGGCGGCAGUGUAGUCCCAGGGAAGGAAGUGGCUGAAGAAGGAGAGGGGCCAGGAGGCCACGAAGGGCCCUGGGGGCCAAUGGAAGGAAUGCGGAAUUUAUUCUACCGGCGACAGGAAGCUACUAAGAGACACGCAUGAAGGUGCAUCAGGAUCGGACUGUCUUUUGGAAAGUUAGCUCUGGCUAAUGUGUGCGUGAGUGGGGGAGGCGCUGGGGGCGCCCAGAGGGGAGCAGGGAGGCCAGGGAGAGGCUUCCGCGCUGCUCUCGGACAGAGGUGGUGGUGCUGUCCCCUCCCUUUCUUCGCCCGCCCCCCUCCUGUGAGGAUGCCAGAGUUGCCCGGGCCUGACCCCUCAGGCAGGCUCUCAGCACCUGGGACUCCGCCCCCCACCCCCAUAUGCUGACAAGACUAAAACUUUGUCCACAGGGGAGCUUCCUGGCAGUUGGGCUCAUCCCCACCUCGGGCAGGUGGGCUCUGGGCUGCAGCAGGGAGGCAUCCCCACCCCAUCCCACCUACUCAGCCUGCAUGGCCCCCUGGGCCGCCACAGGCCCAGCUCAGUCUCCUAAUGGCAAAUGUGUAGCCCUUUCCUGGUGACUGAGACAGAAGAUCCCUAAUUGUCAGCAGCUGAUCUCAAUUAAAAUAGAAACGCCUCCCGUGAUUUGCAGGUGGGAGCUGGAGUGGAGAGCUUGGGGAUGUUUACACAGACUUGGAAGGAUACUGCCCGAAAUGGGUCCACAGGAGUGAAAGCAAUUUAUCUCGAUGAGUUGGGCCCGUGGGUGAUUUAAUUAAGGCCAAACCAGCCCUGGGCUUUGGCCCUCCCUGCCGGGCGUUGCGGGAUGACGGUGCUGAGCCGGCCCUUCUUUUCUCCUCUCCAGGACAUGAAGGUAGGAACACAGUCUCGGCAAGUGCCGAUGUUCCCACUGCUUACCAGCUCGGGUUCCAGGACCUCGUACCUAGACUGCAUUCCAGGCAUAGCGGGGAACACGGGGACCCCUAGGAUGCUGCCCUGCGGAGGGUCAAGCAUGUAUGUACGGUAGCUGGCUUCCCCAGAGCAGUGCGUGGAGGGAGGGAAUGAGGUGGCCGUGAAGCUCAGGACAAGACGCUUCAUCAGGGCUGUGCUGUUCUUCCCUGCCUCCUGAUCGUAGAGAUACAUGCAUCACUCUGGGGCUGUGAGGAGGACAGAAGAGGUUGAGGACAAAGGUGGGAGCCCCACAGGAGGCCACUGCAACGGCCUGGGGAGGACAGCAGCUUGGACCAAGGUGGCCAUGACCAACACAGGUGGGUGAGAUUCUGAAUAUGCUCUGGAGAACCAGCAGAACAUGCUACUGGAUCAGAUUCACGGUAUAAAAGCCAGAAGGGGGCUCCUCUGGUGGCGCAGUGGUUGAGAGUCUGCCUGCCGUUGCAGGGGACAUGGGUUUGUGCCCCGGUCCGGGAAGAUCCCACAUGCCGCGGAGCGGCUGGGCCCGUGAGCCAUGGCCGCUGAGCCUGCGCGUCCGGAGCCUGUGCUCCGCAACGGGAGAGGCCACAACAGUGAGAGGCCCGCGUAUCGGAAAAAAAAAAAAAAAAAAAGCCAGAAGGGAAUCACUCGUGAGCUCUUUGGUCUCUGUCCUGAGAAACUGAGUGAAUAUGGCACCUUUUACUAAGAUGGGAAAAACUGAAAGAGAAGCAAGAUUUGGGGGUGGGAAAAGCAGAAAUUAAGAGUUUGUUUUGGGGAGUUCCCUGGCGGUCCAGUGGUUAGGACUCCACGUUUUCACUGACGAGGACCCGGGUUCAAUCCCUGGUCAGGGAACUAAGAUCCCGCCAGCUGCGUGGUGUGGCCAAAAAAAAAAAGUUUGUUUUCGAUGCAUUAAACCUGAGUUGCCCACUGGAGGCCAUGGAGGGCAGGCAGCUCAGUAAGUGGACUUCAAGG
Orcinus orca (killer whale) is the source of this 3938-nucleotide long non-coding RNA. RefSeq lists it as uncharacterized. Lineage: Eukaryota; Metazoa; Chordata; Mammalia; Artiodactyla; Delphinidae. The record is from RefSeq and is a predicted model, not a curated record. The transcript has 3 exons.